RNAcentral lists this ribosomal RNA (1305 nucleotides) under Hexacentrus japonicus. Its description in RNAcentral is "16S ribosomal RNA". The stretch from base 875 to 1235 matches the Rfam family "Bacterial large subunit ribosomal RNA", at positions 2075 to 2645 of the family's 2925-position model. Lineage: Eukaryota; Metazoa; Arthropoda; Insecta; Orthoptera; Tettigoniidae. The record is from RNAcentral.
AAAAAAAGUCUUAAUUUUGGAGUUGUAAAAUAGAAUGUAUAUGAAAAACAUUUUUAUUUGUUUUGUUUUAGUAUAAGUUAUAGAAAAAAUUUUGUGAUUAACAGUGUAAUAGUACUGUAAAGGAAAGUUGAAAUAGUUGAAAUAAGGUAUUAUUUAAAAGAAAACUUUAUGUUGUACCUUGUGUAUCAGGGUUUAUUAAAAAUUUAUUAUGGAUUUAGUUUUCUCGAAACAAAAUGAGUUAAAAUUUUAUGUCAGUUAAUGUGGAAUAAUUAUUGAAAAUAAAGUUUUGGUAGUGAAAUGUUAUUCGUCUUUUGUGAUAUCUAGUUUCCUAAGAAGUGAAUUUAAUUCGUUUAAUUUUAGUAAUAAUUUAUUUUUGAUAAGUGUUUAUUGAAGUUGAGAAAGGUUUAAGGGGAUAAGCUCUUAAAUUUCUUAUAAUAGGGGUAUAAAAUAAUAAGUUGUAGGCUUUAAAGUAGCUAUCAUUCGAAAAGUGUUAUAAUUUGUUAUGUGAAGAUAAAAUUUUAUAUUUAUUUAAGAUUAUUAUUAGGAUUUAUUAGAUAAUGAUUAUUUAUUAGUAAUAAUGAUAAAAUUAGUAUAUAAAAUGUAUAGAGUUCAAUUGUAAUAUAAAUUUAUAAUAAGGAAUUAGGCAAAAAUUAAUGUUCGCCUGUUUAACAAAAACAUGUCUUUUUGAGUUGAAUUUAAAGUCGAACCUGCCCACUGAUAGUGAAUUGAAGGGCCGCGGUAUUUUGACCGUGCAAAGGUAGCAUAAUCAUUAGUCUUUUAAUUGAAGGCUCGUAUGAAUGGUUUGACGAGAUAUUAGCUGUCUCAUUAUAAUUGGUAGAAUUUAACUUUUAAGUGAAAAGGCUUAAAUUUUGGUGGAGGACGAGAAGACCCUAUAGAGCUUUAUAUAGAAUAUAGUAAAAUAAAUUUAGGGGUUGAUUUAUUAUAUUAUAUUAUAUAUUGUGUUGGGGUGACAUAAAGAUAUAAGUAACUCUUUAUUUUUAGAACAUAAAUUAAUGGUAUUUUGAUCCAGUAAUAUUGAUUGUAAGAAUAAGUUACCUUAGGGAUAACAGCGUAAUUAUUUUUGAGAGUUCUUAUCAAUAAAAAAGAUUGCGACCUCGAUGUUGGAUUAAGGAGUAUUAUUAGGUGUAGUCGUUUAAUAAAUAAGUCUGUUCGACUUUUAAAUCCUUACAUGAUCUGAGUUCAGACCGGUGUAAGCCAGGUCGGUUUCUAUCCUCGUUUAGAUAAAAUAUUUUAGUACGAAAGGACCAAAUAUUGAAAAUAAUUUUUAUUGUAGAUUAAAAUUAA